UACGAAGGGGGCUAGCGUUGUUCGGAUUUACUGGGCGUAAAGAGCUCGUAGGUGGUUCGGUAAGUCAGGUGUGAAACCUCCAGGCUCAACCUGGAGACGCCACUUGAUACUGCUGUGACUGGAGUCCGGUAGGGGAGCGUGGAAUUCCUGGUGUAGCGGUGAAAUGCGCAGAUAUCAGGAGGAACACCAGCGGCGAAGGCGGCGCUCUGGGCCGGUACUGACACUGAGGAGCGAAAGCGUGGGUAGCAAACAGG
RNAcentral lists this ribosomal RNA (254 nucleotides) under uncultured bacterium. RNAcentral describes it as "partial 16S ribosomal RNA". It matches the Rfam family "Bacterial small subunit ribosomal RNA", at positions 524 to 776 of the family's 1533-position model. The record is from RNAcentral.